GUUUCCGCAGCGCAGCGGCCGCGCCUGGGCGCCCCAAGCAACACAACCAGCGCUGUCAGGAGGCGAAUAGGAGCCAGGACAGAGAGCUGGGGAGGCCACUGCUGUCAGGCGAGGGAUAAGAAGGCCGUCCGCGGCGUCACUGACGGGGCUGAAGGAACACCAGGAGAAGAGUGGCAGACAGCUCCGGAGCCGCGCUGCCCGGGCGACGCCGGAAGAUGGGCCUCCCAGCGGUCUUCCUUUCAGCCAAUGGCCGCGAGAUGCGCC
RNAcentral lists this long non-coding RNA (264 nucleotides) under Homo sapiens (human). RNAcentral's name for it is "LHRI_LNC1545.1". Lineage: Eukaryota; Metazoa; Chordata; Mammalia; Primates; Hominidae. The record is from RNAcentral.